CAUGGAAAAUCUGCAAGGUCUUUGCUCAUGUUAAUGAGAGGCAACCAGAAGCUCAGUCUCUGUCCAACAAAUCCUACUUCAAGUUGGAAGAGAAGAAAGGUCAGAAGAGUCAGCACUGCAAGGAAGGACUCACUAAGGAUAGGUGGUGGAUAUUCAAUCCACAUCUGGAACAAAUGUACAUUCAAUAAGCCCCCAUGGGCUGGAGAGUCAAGAAACCAGCUCAGGUUUCUUGAGAGUAAGCUGAAUUUUCUACUCUAAUAAAAGCACUGUGUGUGCUGGUCGUUUGUGUUGUCUUAGGGUGUUUAGAAACUAGCUUGUUGUUCUUGUCUAGUUUCUACACAUGAAAAGACUGUCCAAUUGUCAUUUUGUCUAAGUAUUUGUCUGCCUUAGAAUUUUGUUAAGAGUCUUAGUGCUAUUUUUAAUCUCUAUCUCUGAAAAAAAAAAAAAAAUUUGCCAUUAUAUUAUUCUAAUCUUUUCUAGAAAAUUGUCUGGUUUAUUUGCUUCAAAAUUGUCAAGAAAAAGUUUAGAAAUUUCUUUUAACAGGUUGUUUAGACCUGGUGUUAGGUUGUGAUGUUUCUAUGUUACCUGAAAGGUUAGUUAUGAUAAUUAGGAUUCAGUGUUGUUGCUUGAAUAGUUUCAAGAAAGUUUAUGUCCAUUGUGUUCUUUGUUAAGGUGUUUUUGGAGAUCAGACUUGGUGAGAAACCAUGUUCUGAUCUCUUUAUUGUCUUUUGAUACCUGUCUUUAGUUGUGGUGACAGGUUAUUAAAUGUUAUGUGAUGGCCUUUACACAUCAAGCACAAGCUCAAAGCUCACACCCUCUUGAAGACUGCUCAAACCGACUUUCUCAAAUUUACUUCAAUAUGGAGUCAACAAAAGCCACAGUCAUUCUCAGGGUUCCUAUCUGAUCCCCUGGUCGUGUAUGAACCAAGAAGACCAGGAGGACAGGAGGGGAUCUAAGGGUGAGCUUUA
Long non-coding RNA from Brassica rapa (field mustard), 968 nucleotides. RefSeq lists it as uncharacterized. The record is from RefSeq and is a predicted model, not a curated record. Lineage: Eukaryota; Viridiplantae; Streptophyta; Magnoliopsida; Brassicales; Brassicaceae.